RNAcentral lists this ribosomal RNA (448 nucleotides) under uncultured Desulfobulbus sp. RNAcentral's name for it is "bacterial SSU rRNA". It matches the Rfam family "Bacterial small subunit ribosomal RNA", at positions 938 to 1382 of the family's 1533-position model. Lineage: Bacteria; Pseudomonadati; Thermodesulfobacteriota; Desulfobulbia; Desulfobulbales; Desulfobulbaceae. The record is from RNAcentral.
UAUGUGGUUUAAUUCGAUGCAACGCGAAGAACCUUACCUGGUCUUGACAUCCCGGAGACCCUUAGGAAACUAGGGGUGCUUCCAUCUGGAAGAAUCUGGAGACAGGUGCUGCAUGGCUGUCGUCAGCUCGUGUCGUGAGAUGUUGGGUUAAGUCCCGCAACGAGCGCAACCCUUGCCUUUAGUUGCCAGCAGUUCGGCUGGGCACUCUAAAGGGACUGCCGGUGUUAAACCGGAGGAAGUGGGGAUGACGUCAAGUCCUCAUGGCCUUUAUGACCAGGGCUACACACGUACUACAAUGGCCGAUACAAAGGGCAGCGACACUGCGAGGUGAAGCCAAUCCCGUAAAAUCGGUCUCAGUCCGGAUUGGAGUCUGCAACUCGACUCCAUGAAGUUGGAAUCGCUAGUAAUCGUGGAUCAGCAUGCCACGGUGAAUACGUUCCCGGGCCUU